AUGAACGCUGGCGGCGUGGAUAAGGCAUGCAAGUCAAGGGGCUCGCAAGAGCACCGGCAGACGAGGUAGUAAUAAGCAGGUACGCACCCUGAAGUUGGGCAUAGCUCCGCGAAAGCGGAGGUAAUUCCCGAUAGUUCCCGCAAGGGUAAAGUCGCAAGACGCUUUAGGAGCGGCCUGUUCAGUAUCAGCUAGUUGGUAGGGUAAUGGCCUACCAAGGCAAUGACGCUUAGGGGGGGUGAGAGCCUGUUCCCCACCGAUGGAACUGAGAGACGGUCCAUACACCUACGGGUGGCUGCAGCCGAGAAUAUUCCACAAUGGGCGAAAGCCUGAUGGAGCGACGCCGCGUGGAGGACGAAGUGCUUCGGCAUGUAAACUCCUUUUGUACACUAGAAAGUUUAUUGAUCGGUGUAAGAAUAAGAGGUUGCUAAACUCGU
This 434-nucleotide ribosomal RNA is filed under the name uncultured bacterium. RNAcentral's name for it is "bacterial SSU rRNA". It matches the Rfam family "Bacterial small subunit ribosomal RNA", at positions 29 to 506 of the family's 1533-position model. The record is from RNAcentral.